CAGCCGCCGCGGUAAUACGAAGGGGGCUAGCGUUGUUCGGAUUUACUGGGCGUAAAGCGCACGUAGGCGGACUUUUAAGUCAGGGGUGAAAUCCCGGGGCUCAACCCCGGAACUGCCUUUGAUACUGGAAGUCUUGAGUAUGGUAGAGGUGAGUGGAAUUCCGAGUGUAGAGGUGAAAUUCGUAGAUAUUCGGAGGAACACCAGUGGCGAAGGCGGCUCACUGGACCAUUACUGACGCUGAGGUGCGAAAGCGUGGGGAGCAAACAGGAUUAGAUACCCGUGUAGUCCCUGUCUCUUAUAC
Molecule: ribosomal RNA, 301 nt
Filed under: uncultured bacterium
Lineage: Bacteria
Description: partial 16S ribosomal RNA
Rfam family: Bacterial small subunit ribosomal RNA
Source: RNAcentral